UCCUCAAUUGAAUUAUUUGAGGUAUGGCCUGCUCAAUGCAUCACGUAAAUAGCCGCAGUAUUCUGACUGUGCAAAGGUAGCAUAAUAAAUUGGCUUUUAAUUGAAGUCUGGAAUGAAUGGUUUGACAAGGAUUUGGCUGUCUUGAAAUAAAAUGUUUUGAAAUUGAAUUGUUUGUAAAAAUGCAGACAUGUAAGAGAGGGACGAGAAGACCCUAUAGAUCUUUAAUAAAUUAUUUAAUUAUUAAUUAAAUAGUUUUUUUUAUUUGGGGAAAAUCCUGAAGUAGAAGAUAAAUAAUUUUCGGUUAAAAAAUGUUUAAAAAUUUAGAAGAUUAAAGUUUGAUCCACCAUAGGUGAGAAGAUGAAAAAGUUACCUUAGGGAUAACAGGACAAUGAUCUUUAUGGAGGCCUUAUCUUUAAAGACGUUUGUUACCUCGAUGUUGAAUUAAGUUAUCUAAUUAAAGAAGAAGUUCUUAAAGUUGGUCUGUUCGACCAUUAAAAAC
Molecule: ribosomal RNA, 499 nt
Filed under: Coloceras damicorne
Lineage: Eukaryota; Metazoa; Arthropoda; Insecta; Psocodea; Philopteridae
Description: partial 16S ribosomal RNA
Rfam family: Bacterial large subunit ribosomal RNA
Source: RNAcentral